GUGCACCAGAUACUAACCUGGCUGUCAAUGUCGCAGUUCUGUUAUAGAUCUGAGACAAUCUGUGAUCGUUGGGUCCAAGUGGUGCUAUAUCAAAAAAAGCCUUGAGCAUAUUAGCUUAGUGUGCAGAGAAACACUGAGUUAUAACUCAGAGGUACAGCA
Molecule: non-coding RNA, 159 nt
Organism: Carcharodon carcharias (great white shark)
Lineage: Eukaryota; Metazoa; Chordata; Chondrichthyes; Lamniformes; Lamnidae
Product: small Cajal body-specific RNA 1
Exons: 1
Source: RefSeq, a predicted model, not a curated record